This 1495-nucleotide ribosomal RNA is filed under the name Lacticaseibacillus casei. RNAcentral describes it as "Lactobacillus casei 16S ribosomal RNA". It matches the Rfam family "Bacterial small subunit ribosomal RNA". The record is from RNAcentral. Lineage: Bacteria; Bacillati; Bacillota; Bacilli; Lactobacillales; Lactobacillaceae.
GAACGCUGGCGGCGUGCCUAAUACAUGCAAGUCGAACGAGUUCUCGUUGAUGAUCGGUGCUUGCACCGAGAUUCAACAUGGAACGAGUGGCGGACGGGUGAGUAACACGUGGGUAACCUGCCCUUAAGUGGGGGAUAACAUUUGGAAACAGAUGCUAAUACCGCAUAGAUCCAAGAACCGCAUGGUUCUUGGCUGAAAGAUGGCGUAAGCUAUCGCUUUUGGAUGGACCCGCGGCGUAUUAGCUAGUUGGUGAGGUAAUGGCUCACCAAGGCGAUGAUACGUAGCCGAACUGAGAGGUUGAUCGGCCACAUUGGGACUGAGACACGGCCCAAACUCCUACGGGAGGCAGCAGUAGGGAAUCUUCCACAAUGGACGCAAGUCUGAUGGAGCAACGCCGCGUGAGUGAAGAAGGCUUUCGGGUCGUAAAACUCUGUUGUUGGAGAAGAAUGGUCGGCAGAGUAACUGUUGUCGGCGUGACGGUAUCCAACCAGAAAGCCACGGCUAACUACGUGCCAGCAGCCGCGGUAAUACGUAGGUGGCAAGCGUUAUCCGGAUUUAUUGGGCGUAAAGCGAGCGCAGGCGGUUUUUUAAGUCUGAUGUGAAAGCCCUCGGCUUAACCGAGGAAGCGCAUCGGAAACUGGGAAACUUGAGUGCAGAAGAGGACAGUGGAACUCCAUGUGUAGCGGUGAAAUGCGUAGAUAUAUGGAAGAACACCAGUGGCGAAGGCGGCUGUCUGGUCUGUAACUGACGCUGAGGCUCGAAAGCAUGGGUAGCGAACAGGAUUAGAUACCCUGGUAGUCCAUGCCGUAAACGAUGAAUGCUAGGUGUUGGAGGGUUUCCGCCCUUCAGUGCCGCAGCUAACGCAUUAAGCAUUCCGCCUGGGGAGUACGACCGCAAGGUUGAAACUCAAAGGAAUUGACGGGGGCCCGCACAAGCGGUGGAGCAUGUGGUUUAAUUCGAAGCAACGCGAAGAACCUUACCAGGUCUUGACAUCUUUUGAUCACCUGAGAGAUCAGGUUUCCCCUUCGGGGGCAAAAUGACAGGUGGUGCAUGGUUGUCGUCAGCUCGUGUCGUGAGAUGUUGGGUUAAGUCCCGCAACGAGCGCAACCCUUAUGACUAGUUGCCAGCAUUUAGUUGGGCACUCUAGUAAGACUGCCGGUGACAAACCGGAGGAAGGUGGGGAUGACGUCAAAUCAUCAUGCCCCUUAUGACCUGGGCUACACACGUGCUACAAUGGAUGGUACAACGAGUUGCGAGACCGCGAGGUCAAGCUAAUCUCUUAAAGCCAUUCUCAGUUCGGACUGUAGGCUGCAACUCGCCUACACGAAGUCGGAAUCGCUAGUAAUCGCGGAUCAGCACGCCGCGGUGAAUACGUUCCCGGGCCUUGUACACACCGCCCGUCACACCAUGAGAGUUUGUAACACCCGAAGCCGGUGGCGUAACCCUUUUAGGGAGCGAGCCGUCUAAGGUGGGACAAAUGAUUAGGGUGAAGUCG